This 253-nucleotide ribosomal RNA is filed under the name uncultured bacterium. RNAcentral describes it as "partial 16S ribosomal RNA". It matches the Rfam family "Bacterial small subunit ribosomal RNA", at positions 524 to 776 of the family's 1533-position model. The record is from RNAcentral.
UACAGAGGGGGCAAGCGUUGUUCGGAAUUACUGGGCGUAAAGGGCGCGUAGGCGGCCUGCUAAGUCGAACGUGAAAUCCCUGGGCUCAACCCAGGAACUGCGUCCGAUACUGGUUGGCUUGAAUCCGGGAGAGGGACGUGGAAUUCCAGGUGUAGCGGUGAAGUGCGUAGAUAUCUGGAGGAACACCGGUGGCGAAGGCGACGUCCUGGACCGGGAUUGACGCUGAGGCGCGAAAGCCAGGGGAGCAAACGGG